This 1803-nucleotide ribosomal RNA is filed under the name Escherichia coli. Its description in RNAcentral is "partial 23S ribosomal RNA". It matches the Rfam family "Bacterial large subunit ribosomal RNA", at positions 419 to 2207 of the family's 2925-position model. Lineage: Bacteria; Pseudomonadati; Pseudomonadota; Gammaproteobacteria; Enterobacterales; Enterobacteriaceae. The record is from RNAcentral.
GGGACACGUGGUAUCCUGUCUGAAUAUGGGGGGACCAUCCUCCAAGGCUAAAUACUCCUGACUGACCGAUAGUGAACCAGUACCGUGAGGGAAAGGCGAAAAGAACCCCGGCGAGGGGAGUGAAAAAGAACCUGAAACCGUGUACGUACAAGCAGUGGGAGCCUCUUUAUGGGGUGACUGCGUACCUUUUGUAUAAUGGGUCAGCGACUUAUAUUCUGUAGCAAGGUUAACCGAAUAGGGGAGCCGAAGGGAAACCGAGUCUUAACUGGGCGUUAAGUUGCAGGGUAUAGACCCGAAACCCGGUGAUCUAGCCAUGGGCAGGUUGAAGGUUGGGUAACACUAACUGGAGGACCGAACCGACUAAUGUUGAAAAAUUAGCGGAUGACUUGUGGCUGGGGGUGAAAGGCCAAUCAAACCGGGAGAUAGCUGGUUCUCCCCGAAAGCUAUUUAGGUAGCGCCUCGUGAAUUCAUCUCCGGGGGUAGAGCACUGUUUCGGCAAGGGGGUCAUCCCGACUUACCAACCCGAUGCAAACUGCGAAUACCGGAGAAUGUUAUCACGGGAGACACACGGCGGGUGCUAACGUCCGUCGUGAAGAGGGAAACAACCCAGACCGCCAGCUAAGGUCCCAAAGUCAUGGUUAAGUGGGAAACGAUGUGGGAAGGCCCAGACAGCCAGGAUGUUGGCUUAGAAGCAGCCAUCAUUUAAAGAAAGCGUAAUAGCUCACUGGUCGAGUCGGCCUGCGCGGAAGAUGUAACGGGGCUAAACCAUGCACCGAAGCUGCGGCAGCGACACUAUGUGUUGUUGGGUAGGGGAGCGUUCUGUAAGCCUGCGAAGGUGGCCUGUGAGGGUUGCUGGAGGUAUCAGAAGUGCGAAUGCUGACAUAAGUAACGAUAAAGCGGGUGAAAAGCCCGCUCGCCGGAAGACCAAGGGUUCCUGUCCAACGUUAAUCGGGGCAGGGUGAGUCGACCCCUAAGGCGAGGCCGAAAGGCGUAGUCGAUGGGAAACAGGUUAAUAUUCCUGUACUUGGUGUUACUGCGAAGGGGGGACGGAGAAGGCUAUGUUGGCCGGGCGACGGUUGUCCCGGUUUAAGCGUGUAGGCUGGUUUUCCAGGCAAAUCCGGAAAAUCAAGGCUGAGGCGUGAUGACGAGGCACUACGGUGCUGAAGCAACAAAUGCCCUGCUUCCAGGAAAAGCCUCUAAGCAUCAGGUAACAUCAAAUCGUACCCCAAACCGACACAGGUGGUCAGGUAGAGAAUACCAAGGCGCUUGAGAGAACUCGGGUGAAGGAACUAGGCAAAAUGGUGCCGUAACUUCGGGAGAAGGCACGCUGAUAUGUAGGUGAAGUCCCUCGCGGAUGGAGCUGAAAUCAGUCGAAGAUACCAGCUGGCUGCAACUGUUUAUUAAAAACACAGCACUGUGCAAACACGAAAGUGGACGUAUACGGUGUGACGCCUGCCCGGUGCCGGAAGGUUAAUUGAUGGGGUUAGCGGUAACGCGAAGCUCUUGAUCGAAGCCCCGGUAAACGGCGGCCGUAACUAUAACGGUCCUAAGGUAGCGAAAUUCCUUGUCGGGUAAGUUCCGACCUGCACGAAUGGCGUAAUGAUGGCCAGGCUGUCUCCACCCGAGACUCAGUGAAAUUGAACUCGCUGUGAAGAUGCAGUGUACCCGCGGCAAGACGGAAAGACCCCGUGAACCUUUACUAUAGCUUGACACUGAACAUUGAGCCUUGAUGUGUAGGAUAGGUGGGAGGCUUUGAAGUGUGGACGCCAGUCUGCAUGGAGCCGACCUUGAAAUACCACCCUU